CCACUUUUGCAUGCUAAUAAAUCCAUGGCCUAACUUUUCUGUGUACAAUUGGAAAAUCCUUUCUCAGUCAUAAAUGACAUAUAUAUAUAAAUCCCACCCUCUUCCAGUUAAUUAAUUACGUUAAUUCAUUGAUGGCUUCUCUUCUACUUCUUCUCUCCGAGCUGCUUCGUCAUGAAAAUCUCGACAACCUUAUCUCAUCCCCUUCUCCCUUACACGCCGCCGGUGCGCCGCCGCGUCCAGCCACCAAGACCGCAACAAAUCUGACCGACAAAUGCAAAAGCUAUGGGCAGGAUCGAUUUCAAGAACAACUUAUUCCUCGGAUCUGCCUCGACUUAGUUUGGCCCUAGCCGUUCAUUCUUCCUUAAUUUUACAUUUUUCUUUUUAUUUCUACGUCUUCUUUUUUCAUUUUUUUNUUCUUUCAUCUAUGGACUCAUCGCUUCUUUUGUUUAUUGCAAGAAUUGUGCGUAUAUAUAUAAUAGUAUCAAUUUCUCUCUCUUUUCUAUAUAUAUGUAUGCGUGUGUGUUAUGAUUAAUUUAUGAGAAUAUUGUAUGGAUAUAUUAACUCCGUGGUUGUUGGUCAAUCCUUGCAUAUUUAAUUGCUCCGCUUUUCCGGAAGGUAGCUUAGGAGGAUCAUUAGGAAUAUAACGUGACUCGACAUGGAAACUCACGCGUAGAAUUACUACUUUUACAUCGAGCUGAGAAAAAUCUCAACUUACCCACGGGAUCCAAUGCACACAGAUCCGUUAUCUAAUCAAGGAUUUUCAUGUAAUUUAAUAUAGUGCGUUGAUCAUCACAUGCAUGGAUAUAUGAAUAGAUGAGAGUUGAA
RNAcentral lists this long non-coding RNA (825 nucleotides) under Salvia miltiorrhiza (redroot sage). Its description in RNAcentral is "long non-coding RNA (SMIL_LNC014367)". The record is from RNAcentral. Lineage: Eukaryota; Viridiplantae; Streptophyta; Magnoliopsida; Lamiales; Lamiaceae.